GGUCAGUUGCGCCUCUGCUUCGGAAGAGUAUUUUUAGUGGCAAAUAAAGUGGUGCGCAAAUAAACAAACGCCUGGAACAAAUCCUGCAAAGGAGAGCGCCUGUGUGCGGCCCACUGUCUAACUAGGUCAGCCUCGGGCACAGCUCCUUUUGACAGUUUGCUCCCCAGGGCGGAAGGUGACCCGCAGGUGCCGGCUGCUUUCCCCACCAAUCAGCCAUCUGUGGUUUGAGACUCACAAGCUUAGGAGAGACUCGGGAGGCAUCAGUUCCGCAUCCCGCACUCCCACGUGAAUUUGCCCCCGCCCUGAGUCAGAACCCUAGAGGGGUGAAAUCCCUGAAUUCUGCAGAGGAAACCCAUACUUCUUUGCUUUUUCAGCAAUUCCAGGAGAUGUCGUUUUUCAAGUGGCAAAUGUGUGGCUCUAGAGGACAGAGUAACCACCUUGCAGCCAAGAAGCCCUGAUGUCAACUCCCAGCUCUGCUGCAGCACCCAGAAAUCACCGGACCUUUCUGCAUCUUUCUGGGUGACUCUGUCAUGAGGAUUUCAUAAUGUAAUUCCCUAGCACAUAAGAAUUUCUCAACCAAUAUGGCUUUCUUUUUUCCUUCUCACUAGUCUUUGAGCUUCUUAAAGGGAAGACAUGUCCUAUUCAUCUCUACACCCCCCACACCAGUCUGCAUUCAGUAAGUGCUCAAUCAAUGUCUGCUGAAUCACAUCUUCCCACUCAACUGCAUGGCCUCGGAUGAUCCAAUUCUGUGGGACUCAGGGUCUCCCUGAUUCUGAAGAUCUCCAUUUCAGCCACCCCAUCCUGGUGCUUUUUCUGGAGAGACUGGGAAAAAGGAGACAGAAGAAUCCACUCUAGCUGAGACUCCAGAUUGCCUGGGCUGUAAUUUACGGUGCUAUCACAAAGGGGUCCUUUUUCCGCAUGGUGCUCUGCGGUGAUGAGCCAGAAGCUGAAGCUGAGGGGUCUUAUUGGCUGUGCAAACUUGAGGGAGUUGCCUAACCACUCUGGGCCCUGUUUUCCUGGCUUUGCCACUCUUCAGCUGUGUGACCCGGGGAAGCUCUCAACCUCUUUGUGCCUCCAUUUCCACAUCUGUAAAAUGGGGAUAUGAAAGUGGCUGCUUUGUGAAGAGUCCUGAGAAUAAAUGAGUUAAGGAAAACUGAUAUGGAUAAAUAUGGAAGAGAGCUGGCCAGUGGAUGAAAUGGUGAUGUAAAGGUUAAGAGAAAUAAAAGCAGGAGACGAGGAGAGAGUCACACCACGGUGAGCAGAGAGUUGAGCUGGGGCCCGGGACAAGCAUCAAAAGUGUCACUUCCUCUGAGGUCCCAACCCUACUUCCAUAGGCUCUGCAGCCCACACCACCUUGGAACCAAACAGGGAGGUGGCAGAACUGAUGGGCUGGCCGCACCACCUUAAAUCUCUUAGCUCCAAAACUGGAGGUGCUCAUCAGGACCCUGCAUCAUUUCUGUGGGUGAUGGAUGGUGUGAGGUAAGGCACAGAGAUCUAGACUUAUUUCUCCUUCCACAACAAUUGUUUCUUGGAAGAGGAAGAAAACUUAGCUGGAUUUUAUCUCUUUGUGUGGAUUUCUGGGGUAGACACCCAGAGGUGUGUGCAGGAGCAUGCUCUUUGGGGCCCACAUAGAGAUUCCAGCAGGUGCUGGAGAUUCUGGGGUAGCCUUUCCAUGACUGCUGGCCUCUUUUCCCCUGUGUUGCUUUGGUUUGCUGUCUGGCUAAAGGCAGGAGUGGGAGAAACUCACAUUCCACAAGAGGCUGCCUGGAGCAGAGGCCAAGAGGGUAAGGUUUGUCCAAGGCCUUCCAUCUCAGCUUUGCUGCCAAUUUGUCAGAAAAAAAAUCAUUUGUGCCAAUUAGACCCUGGUUAGGAAAGUGUUGUCCUGUCUGGGAAGCAGGUACAGAAACCAGUUGCAAGGACAGGAGAUCAAUGAAAGUGACACAUUACUUAUGCCUCCAAUUCUUCUCAGCCCUCAAUUUAGUCUCUGAGACACAGAGAAAAUAAGUGUACUUGCCUUGCUAAUGGGUACAUGGUUGGCUUUGGGCAAUUUAUAUAGAGCACUUUAGUUCCAAGAUGAAAUGCACUGAGAUAUUAGGAUUAGUCUCUGCUUUAAUGAGUUUCUGACUUGCAGGUUUGAAAAAAUUUAGUUCUUUUCUGUAUUUCUCUACAAACACAAAACAAUGAUUUAAUGGUAAAACAACAAUGAAAAGAAACUAGGCCAUUCUCUCCAAAAUGAUUAAAAGGGUACUUCUCCUGACCUGACAUAACCUUUCCUCAUAUGAAUUUAUUAUCUGUAUUCACACUCAUAUUCCACUGGAAUGCCUUGGGUCCAGGUGGAUGGUUGCUUAUGGUUAGUAUCGAUUCUGAGCAGGUAGGCAUUCAUACUGUUUGGUUGACGCCUGUGGUGAACAGACCUUAAGGUGACUUCUUGCACCCCUGAGUCAUUUUCUUGUAUAAUCUCCUCUCUUUGAGGACACAAACUGUGCCCUGCUUCAAACCAGUGGAAUAGAGACAAGGUGAUGAGAUCUUUGGUUAUUGCACCUAACUGCUUCAUUCAUUGCACAAUUAGUCACACGCUGUUUUGUGAUGCAGAACAUUUUUUUUUAAGAGAUGGUAGUCUCACUCUGACACCCAGGUUGGAGUGCAGUGACAUGAUCAGAGCUCACUGCAGCCUCAAACUCCUGGGCUCAAGGGAUCCUCCUGCCUCAGCCUCCUGAGUAGCUGGGACUAGAGGUGCGUGCCACCACACCCAGCUAUUUUUUAUUUUUUGUAGAAAUGGAGUCUCACUUUGUGGCCCAAGCUGGUCUCCAACUCCUGGGCUCAAGUGAUCCUCCCACCUUGGCUUAUCAAAUUGCUGGGAUCACAGGUUUGAGCCACCGUGCUUGGACUGUGAUGCAAAAUUUUAUCUAAACCUUGUAUUGUUGACUAUAGCAUCAUGCACUUACUAUUUUCCCUCUUAACUAGAUUUUAAGUCUCUUGAGGGCAAGAACUCUGUUCUUGAAGAUUUUCAGAAGCCCGAUAGCAUAUGGAAGUACUUGACACACAAUAAGUACACAGUCAUAUGUGAUUUGGUUUCUGAGCCUUCAUUUGUCCAACAAAACCAGAUGGGUCUUAGAUGAAGAUAUACGUGGCAAACACUGCAUGCCUACUGUGGGUCAGGUUAGCUCCCAGACAUGCAGAAAACAAAAGCUCUGUCCUCAGGAGUUCAUGAUGGUUCAACCCAAUCAACGAAGUCUUGCAAUCUCACUUCCUCCUUACCUUGUAGAGUUGGAAGAUAUCCAAAUAUUCCUAGAGUUCUUUGUCAAUCUGUCAGGAUUAUAAUUCCACAGAUCAGGCAGAGUGUAACCAUGAAGCUCUUCAGUGAAUUUUUAGUGACUUUUGGGUGAUUUUUUAGUUUCCAAGUAGAAGAAGCAAAAGACCCUUGUGGUGGUUACCUUCCAUCUAAACAGAGAGUGAGCUACAAAGAUACUGCUGUCCCUCAGUGGCCCAUGGGUGUCCCUGCAAAUCUGUGACUCAAGUGGCCAUAUUCAUAUUAAGCAGACCAGAGAUCAAAACCAUAUUAGGCAUGAACCACUUUUUAUUCAUAGGCUUACCGAAUAUAU
Molecule: long non-coding RNA, 3602 nt
Filed under: Homo sapiens (human)
Lineage: Eukaryota; Metazoa; Chordata; Mammalia; Primates; Hominidae
Description: HSALNT0070212
Source: RNAcentral